RNAcentral lists this ribosomal RNA (377 nucleotides) under uncultured bacterium. Its description in RNAcentral is "bacterial SSU rRNA". It matches the Rfam family "Bacterial small subunit ribosomal RNA", at positions 523 to 898 of the family's 1533-position model. The record is from RNAcentral.
AUACGUAGGUGGCGAGCGUUGUCCGGAAUUACUGGGUGUAAAGGGCGCGUAGGCGGGGAGGCAAGUCAGAUGUGAAAUACCGAGGCUUAACUUCGGGGCUGCAUCUGAAACUGUUUUUCUUGAGUGUCGGAGAGGAAAGCGGAAUUCCCAGUGUAGCGGUGAAAUGCGUAGAUAUUGGGAGGAACACCAGUGGCGAAGGCGGCUUUCUGGACGACAACUGACGCUGAGGCGCGAAAGCGUGGGGAGCAAACAGGAUUAGAUACCCUGGUAGUCCACGCCGUAAACGAUGGAUACUAGGUGUAGGAGGUAUCGACCCCUUCUGUGCCGGAGUUAACACAAUAAGUAUCCCACCUGGGGAGUACGGCCGCAAGGUUGAA